UAAUGACUGCGCUACCCAGGCGCCCCUCAAGUUUUCUAUAUAUAAUGUCGUGUCACCUGGUCUGACUUAACCAGGCAAGACCUUAAAAGAAGAUGAAACAUGAGAGAAAUAUUCCACUGACUUCGAAGACGUAGCUGACCCCUGACCAACUCCAGCAAACAAACAAACAAACAAAACAAACAAACAAACAGACAAACAAAAGAACCCAACAACCAAAACACAAACCAACAAAAAGCCAACCUGAGACCUACGUCCUACAACCACAAGGAAUUCAAUUAUAACAACAACCAGUAAAUUUGGAAAAGGACCCUGAGCUUCACAUGAGAACUACAGCCCUAGAUUUCAGCCUGCACAUGGCUGGACCACAUCUCCCCCAGCCCUUCAUCUGGACCAGCCACGUGACCAAUUCUUGCUGAGAGAUUGUGAGCGGAGGUAUUGUGACACUUCAGAUCAUUGAAUUAAAAGCUGGUGUGCUUUGUCCAGGCUCCGCCUUUCUUUGCUCCAUAGCAACCUUGGAGGCCACGUGUUGAAGAGGGCAGCCUCACAUGAUUCAAUAUGCCUGGAUCUCCAAGUCUCUGCUUUGAGGAAAACCCUAGCCCAGGAACAUCUGCAUUGGACUUUCCAUGAGAAAGAAAUAAACUUACGUUGUCCUAAGCUACUAAGGUUUGGGGGCUUGUUAAUUGCCCCUUUAUAACAUCCCAAAUAUUGUUUGAGAGUUGAUGGCACAUAGUGUCCAGACAUAUCAGCAGGAAUGUGAGGUCUGGAGUAGCAGCCAGACAAGGCAGAUUUUUUUUCCUCAUCUCAACCAUCAAGCUGGGCCCCCUUUUUAUACUCACAGUGUCUUGUACUAUAUAUAUAUACUAACGUUUAAAGAAGGGAUGAUCACUACAUUAGGAAUUGGCUCACGCAAUUAUGGAAGCUGAGAAAUCCCACAAUCUGCCAUCUGCAAGCUGCAAACCCAGGAAAGCUGGUGGUAUAGUUCAGCUGAAAUCUGAAGGUCUAAGAACCAGAAGGACUCAUGAUGUAAGUCUCAGUCUGAGCGGAGAAGUCCAAUGACCCAGCUCAAUCUGUCAGGCAGAGAAGGGACAAAGUUUUCCUUCUCUUGUCUUUUUUUUUAGUCAGGCCCUUAAAAGAUUGAAGGAUGCCCACUCUCAUUGGACAGGGAAAUCUGCUUUACUGAGUUCAAUGAUUCAAGUGUUAAUCUCAUCCAGAAACACCCUCACAGACACAGCCAGAAAUAAUGUUUAGCUAAAUAUUUGGGUCUUCCACGAUCCAGCCAUGUUGACGCAUAAAGUUAGCCGUCACAAUCACACAGCCCAUGUCCCUGGUUUGUGCCUAAUUAUUACCAAAUUCUUCCAUCCACUCACAGAAUCCUGCAACCUCCUCCUUCACAAAAUGGGAUUUUUAAUGUUACUAUCUCAAGAUACUUAAAAAUCUUUAUGUUUUAGUUUUAAGUGCUUUGGACUUGACCGAUCUUGCAUUUUCCAUUCUUUUCAACAUAACUUUUACAGAUUUUAAAAGGACAUCUGGAAGAAUUUCUCAAGGCUUUGUCCCUAGUUUUAAGAGCAUUAGACUGACAUGUUUGGAUGUUUAAGAGAGCUCUAAGAUUCACUAUACUUUUAAGUUUAAUUUAUUAUAUUUGUAGGAAUGAAUUCAUUGCUGAGAAGGUUUUGUUUGUUAGAUAUUUAAGGGGCUUAGAAAGUAAAUUGUUCAAUUUAUAAGGAUAUUUAGUUAAAUGGGACUAAUCAUCAGUCAAAGGCAUCUGUGUGAGUGAUCACUAAAUUUUACCAGAUUUAUAAAUAAAAUAAUAAGAUUUGUAAGUUGAACUCAAAAGCUUAAAGAAAAAUUAGGUUUGGAGUUUGUAACUUUAAUAAAUAAAAUAUAACAACCUCCUCAUUUAAUGGCAAAUUAUUUCCUGCAAACAAAAUCUCACAUUAUAGCUUAAAAAUAAAAUCAGAUAAUCAGAAUUUUAAAAAUAUGGUAUAGCUAAGAGUAAUGGGCUCUAGCCAGUGUCUGAGGAGCUCCUCAAAAAGGAAAGAGCAUGAAUUUUAGUAUGAAUAAAGGUGUGGUGUAUUUAGACGAGAAUGAUCAUCAGGGAUGUUUGUUAGAAGAUCAGCUUCCGGGCU
Long non-coding RNA from Ailuropoda melanoleuca (giant panda), 2126 nucleotides. RefSeq lists it as uncharacterized. NCBI's taxonomy places the organism in Eukaryota, Metazoa, Chordata, Mammalia, Carnivora, Ursidae. The record is from RefSeq and is a predicted model, not a curated record. The transcript is spliced from 3 exons.